GAUCCUGGCUCAGAUUGAACGCUGGCGGCAGGCCUAACACAUGCAAGUCGAGCGGUAGAGAGGNGCUUGCACCUCUUGAGAGCGGCGGACGGGUGAGUAAUGCCUAGGAAUCUGCCUGGUAGUGGGGGAUAACGCUCGGAAACUGGCGCUAAUACCGCAUACGUCCUACGGGAGAAAGCAGGGGACCUUCGGGCCUUGCGCUAUCAGAUGAGCCUAGGUCGGAUUAGCUAGUUGGUGAGGUAAUGGCUCACCAAGGCGACGAUCCGUAACUGGUCUGAGAGGAUGAUCAGUCACACUGGAACUGAGACACGGUCCAGACUCCUACGGGAGGCAGCAGUGGGGAAUAUUGGACAAUGGGCGAAAGCCUGAUCCAGCCAUGCCGCGUGUGUGAAGAAGGUCUUCGGAUUGUAAAGCACUUUAAGUUGGGAGGAAGGGCAGUUACCUAAUACGUAUCUGUUUUGACGUUACCGACAGAAUAAGCACCGGCUAACUCUGUGCCAGCAGCCGCGGUAAUACAGAGGGUGCAAGCGUUAAUCGGAAUUACUGGGCGUAAAGCGCGCGUAGGUGGUUCGUUAAGUUGGAUGUGAAAUCCCCGGGCUCAACCUGGGAACUGCAUUCAAAACUGACGAGCUAGAGUAUGGUAGAGGGU
This 649-nucleotide ribosomal RNA is filed under the name Pseudomonas lini. RNAcentral's name for it is "bacterial SSU rRNA". It matches the Rfam family "Bacterial small subunit ribosomal RNA", at positions 15 to 659 of the family's 1533-position model. Lineage: Bacteria; Pseudomonadati; Pseudomonadota; Gammaproteobacteria; Pseudomonadales; Pseudomonadaceae. The record is from RNAcentral.